UCAACUCAAAUCUGCCACCAAUAGUUACAUAUUCACAGGCUAGUUCAGUAAGUAGAACAUAAAAAUGCAGUUAGUAGUGUUAUUAAAAAUCGUGGAUCCUACGAAUACAAGCAACAAUUCGACUGUUAGAUUUGGGUGCGUCUCAGUGUGAAAUACAACGCGCUAUACCAAAGAUAGAAAAGAAAGAACAAACGUGACAGAAACGCAUAUUAGAGAGUGCAGCUAGUAAUCUCAAUAAGGAAAUGCGAUUGGACUCCGUGUUGUUUGAAAGUUAAGUUUUCAACAAUAGUGACAACCAAAAAAUGGGCGUUAGAAUGGUCGUUUACAGUAGGCAUUAGGAACCUUGGCGAAAAGGUCCCGUAGAAUUUGGGUGAACCUGCUACACAGAUGACACUCAACGCUUUUCUAAUUUGCUGGUGUGACGUCAAAUAACAUAACAUUAUAUGUAUGUGUAAGCAAGGCUUUCAUUUACUACUCCGUAGCAGCAAAAUUUCUAGAA
Long non-coding RNA from Bactrocera tryoni, 499 nucleotides. RefSeq lists it as uncharacterized. Lineage: Eukaryota; Metazoa; Arthropoda; Insecta; Diptera; Tephritidae. The record is from RefSeq and is a predicted model, not a curated record. The transcript is spliced from 3 exons.